GAUGAAGAACGCAGCGAAAUGCGAUACUUGGUGUGAAUUGCAGAAUCCCGUGUACCAUCGAGUCUUUGAACGCAAGUUGCGCCCGAAGCCAUUAGGCCGAGGGCACGCCUGCCUGGGCGUCACACGUCGUUGCCCCCCCAUCUACUCCUUCGGGAUUGCGGGGGGCGGAUGAUGGCCUCUCGUGCGCCUCGUCGCGCGGUUGGCCUAAAUGCCAAGUCCUCGGCGACGCACGCCACGACAAUCGGUGGUUGCGAAACCUCGGUUGCCUGUCGUGUGCGGUCGUCGCGCAUCGAGGGCUCGAAAAAAUUGCCGGGCUUCGGCUCGACUUUCAACGCGACCCCAGGUCAGGCGGGGUUACCCGCUGAAUUUAAGCAUAUCAAUAAGCGGAGGA
This 391-nucleotide unclassified non-coding RNA is filed under the name soil metagenome. Its description in RNAcentral is "partial contains 5.8S ribosomal RNA, internal transcribed spacer 2, and large subunit ribosomal RNA". The stretch from base 1 to 122 matches the Rfam family "5.8S ribosomal RNA", at positions 35 to 154 of the family's 154-position model. The record is from RNAcentral.